This 253-nucleotide ribosomal RNA is filed under the name uncultured bacterium. Its description in RNAcentral is "partial 16S ribosomal RNA". It matches the Rfam family "Bacterial small subunit ribosomal RNA", at positions 524 to 776 of the family's 1533-position model. The record is from RNAcentral.
UACGUAGGGUGCAAGCGUUGUCCGGAAUUAUUGGGCGUAAAGAGCUCGUAGGCGGUCUGUUACGUCGGAUGUGAAAUCCCGAGGCUCAACCUCGGGCCUGCAGUGGGUACGGGCAGACUUGAGUGGUGUAGGGGAGACUGGAAUUCCUGGUGUAGCGGUGGAAUGCGCAGAUAUCAGGAGGAACACCGAUGGCGAAGGCAGGUCUCUGGGCACUUACUGACGCUGAGGAGCGAAAGCGUGGGGAGCGAACAGG